RNAcentral lists this ribosomal RNA (209 nucleotides) under uncultured Acholeplasma sp. Its description in RNAcentral is "partial 16S ribosomal RNA". It matches the Rfam family "Bacterial small subunit ribosomal RNA", at positions 568 to 777 of the family's 1533-position model. Lineage: Bacteria; Bacillati; Mycoplasmatota; Mollicutes; Acholeplasmatales; Acholeplasmataceae. The record is from RNAcentral.
UGCGUAGGCGGUUUUUUAAGUUCAAGGUUUAAAUCCAAAGCUCAACUUUGGAACGCUUUGAAAACUGGGAGACUAGAGAUAGGUAGAGGCAAGUGGAAUUCCAUGUGUAGCGGUAAAAUGCGUAAAUAUAUGGAGGAACACCAGUGGCGAAGGCGGCUUGCUGGGCCUAAACUGACGCUGAGGCACGAAAGCGUGGGGAGCAAACAGGA